AAUCAACGCUGGCGGCGUGCCUCAGACAUGCAAGUCGAACGCGAAAGAGGGCUUCGGCCCUUGAGUAGAGUGGCGCACGGGUGAGUAACACGUGGGUAAUUUACCUUGGGUGGGAAUAACAGUCGGAAACGGCUGCUAAUACCGCAUAAUGCAGCGGCUCCACAUGGAGACAGCUGUUAAAGCGGGGAGCGAGCGAACUCGCCCUCGCGCCUGAAGAGAAGGCCCGCGGCAGAUUAGC
RNAcentral lists this ribosomal RNA (238 nucleotides) under uncultured bacterium. RNAcentral's name for it is "partial 16S ribosomal RNA". It matches the Rfam family "Bacterial small subunit ribosomal RNA", at positions 32 to 245 of the family's 1533-position model. The record is from RNAcentral.